UGAAUCGUGGAUUGAAGCUCUUU
Molecule: non-coding RNA, 23 nt
Filed under: Drosophila melanogaster (fruit fly)
Lineage: Eukaryota; Metazoa; Arthropoda; Insecta; Diptera; Drosophilidae
Source: RNAcentral